This 166-nucleotide ribosomal RNA is filed under the name uncultured bacterium. RNAcentral describes it as "partial 16S ribosomal RNA". It matches the Rfam family "Bacterial small subunit ribosomal RNA", at positions 368 to 526 of the family's 1533-position model. The record is from RNAcentral.
ACAAUGGGCGCAAGCCUGAUCCAGCCAUGCCGCGUGUGUGAAGAAGGUCUUCGGAUUGUAAAGCACUUUAAGUUGGGAGGAAGGGUUGUAGAUUAAUACUCUGCAAUUUUGACGUUACCGACAGAAUAAGCACCGGCUAACUCUGUGCCAGCAGCCGCGGUAAUAA